This 23-nucleotide microRNA is filed under the name Sus scrofa (pig). Its description in RNAcentral is "ssc-mir128". The record is from RNAcentral. Lineage: Eukaryota; Metazoa; Chordata; Mammalia; Artiodactyla; Suidae.
AGAGCUGAGGGCAGAGUCCAGGA